UUCAUCGCAGGCGCGCGACGAUCGCGUGACGGAGGCGUUCGCGCGUUUCCGCACCUUUCGUUGUGUUCGAUCCGGCGACGAACGCGUGCACUUUUCUCCUGGUAGGACGUCGCGAUCCGUUGGGUGUCGGUCUAAGGAGUCAUACGGUGGAGCCCGCGAAUCACGGCCUCGUGUCGUUGUUUGCGGACCCGUUUCUUCCCGACCGACUCGCUCGACGGUAUACGAAAGGUUUAAGGCCGCUCUCACUCUACGAGCGUUCGACCCACGACAAGCGCGCUAGUAGCCGUUGGCUAUCGGACCUAGUGCCGGUACCGACCUCUGGUGACUGUUGGUCGUGGUGUUCUCGAACCGACCUUUUCGAAACCGAUCUGCGACGCUAUAGCUUUGGGUACUUUCAGGACCCGUCUUGAAACACGGACCAAGGAGUCUAGCAUGUGCGCGAGUCAUUGGGAAUUACUAAACCUAAAGGCGUAAUGAAAGUAAAGGUUCGUCUCGCACGAACCGAGGGAAGAUGAGAGAUUUACCCUUAAAAGUAGUCUCUCCGCAUUCCCGGGGCGUCUCGUUCUCAUCGCGAGAAGAGGCGCACCAAGAGCGUACACGCUGGGACCCGAAAGAUGGUGAACUAUGCCUGGUCAGGACGAAGUCAGGGGAAACCCUGAUGGAGGUCCGUAGCGAUUCUGACGUGCAAAUCGAU
Molecule: ribosomal RNA, 694 nt
Filed under: Sphenophorus venatus (hunting billbug)
Lineage: Eukaryota; Metazoa; Arthropoda; Insecta; Coleoptera; Curculionidae
Description: eukaryotic LSU rRNA
Rfam family: Eukaryotic large subunit ribosomal RNA
Source: RNAcentral